RNAcentral lists this ribosomal RNA (462 nucleotides) under Streptococcus mitis. RNAcentral describes it as "bacterial SSU rRNA". It matches the Rfam family "Bacterial small subunit ribosomal RNA", at positions 28 to 474 of the family's 1533-position model. Lineage: Bacteria; Bacillati; Bacillota; Bacilli; Lactobacillales; Streptococcaceae. The record is from RNAcentral.
GACGAACGCUGGCGGCGUGCCUAAUACAUGCAAGUAGAACGCUGAAGGAGGAGCUUGCUUCUCUGGAUGAGUUGCGAACGGGUGAGUAACGUGUAGGUAACCUGCCUGGUAGCGGGGGAUAACUAUUGGAAACGAUAGCUAAUACCGCAUAACAGUAGAUGUUGCAUGACAUUUGCUUAAAAGGUGCAAUUGCAUCACUACCAGAUGGACCUGCGUUGUAUUAGCUAGUUGGUGGGGUAACGGCUCACCAAGGCGACGAUACAUAGCCGACCUGAGAGGGUGAUCGGCCACACUGGGACUGAGACACGGCCCAGACUCCUACGGGAGGCAGCAGUAGGGAAUCUUCGGCAAUGGACGAAAGUCUGACCGAGCAACGCCGCGUGAGUGAAGAAGGUUUUCGGAUCGUAAAGCUCUGUUGUAAGAGAAGAACGAGUGUGAGAGUGGAAAGUUCACACUGUGACG